This 99-nucleotide ribosomal RNA is filed under the name Acinetobacter sp. ANC 4862. Its description in RNAcentral is "partial 16S ribosomal RNA". It matches the Rfam family "Bacterial small subunit ribosomal RNA", at positions 1436 to 1533 of the family's 1533-position model. The record is from RNAcentral. Lineage: Bacteria; Pseudomonadati; Pseudomonadota; Gammaproteobacteria; Moraxellales; Moraxellaceae.
UAACCGCAAGGAGGACGCUUACCACGGUGUGGCCGAUGACUGGGGUGAAGUCGUAACAAGGUAGCCGUAGGGGAACCUGCGGCUGGAUCACCUCCUUAA